This 934-nucleotide ribosomal RNA is filed under the name Stemphylium vesicarium. RNAcentral's name for it is "partial 18S ribosomal RNA". It matches the Rfam family "Eukaryotic small subunit ribosomal RNA", at positions 138 to 1091 of the family's 1831-position model. The record is from RNAcentral. Lineage: Eukaryota; Fungi; Ascomycota; Dothideomycetes; Pleosporales; Pleosporaceae.
ACUUGGAUAACCGUGGUAAUUCUARAGCUAAUACAUGCUGAAAAUCCCGACUUCGGAAGGGAUGUGUUUAUUAGAUAAAAAMCCAAUGCCCUUCGGGGCUUUUUGGUGAUUCAUGAUAACUUUACGGAUCGCAUAGCCUUGCGCUGGCGACGGUUCAUUCAAAUUUCUGCCCUAUCAACUUUCGAUGGUAAGGUAUUGGCUUACCAUGGUUUCAACGGGUAACGGGGAAUUAGGGUUCGAUUCCGGAGAGGGAGCCUGAGAAACGGCUACCACAUCCAAGGAAGGCAGCAGGCGCGCAAAUUACCCAAUCCCGACMCGGGGAGGUAGUGACAAUAAAUASUGAUACAGGGCUCUUUUGGGUCUUGUAAUUGGAAUGAGUACAAUUUAAACCUCUUAMCGAGGAACAAUUGGAGGGCAAGUCUGGUGCCAGCAGCCGCGGUAAUUCCAGCUCCAAUAGCGUAUAUUAAAGUUGUYGCAGUUAAAAAGCUCSUAGUUGAAAYUUGGGCSUGGCUGGMGGGUYCGCCUCWCCGMGUGCAMUMGUCCGGCCGGGCCUUCMUUMKGAAGAACCUCAUGCCCUUCACUGGGCGUGWUGGGGAAUCAGGACUUYUACUUUGAAAAAAUUAGAGUGUUCAAAGCAGGCCUUUGCUCGAAUACGUUAGCAUGGAAUAAUAAAAUAGGGCGUGSGUKUMUAYWUKGUUGGUYUMUAGAGACSCMKCAAAGAUUAACAGGAACAGUAGGGGGCAUCAGUAUUCAGUUGUCAGAGGUGAAAUUUUUGGAAAUAUUGAAGGAUAAAUCAUGAGAAAGCAUAGGGCAAGGAUGUUUUCAUUAAUCAGUGAAUGAAAUUUAGGGGAUGGAAGAUGAUCAGAUACUGUCUUAGUAUUAACCGUAAAUUAUGAAGAAUAGGGAUCGGGUGAAGUUAUUUUUUAGACUCGCU